Molecule: ribosomal RNA, 301 nt
Filed under: uncultured bacterium
Lineage: Bacteria
Description: partial 16S ribosomal RNA
Rfam family: Bacterial small subunit ribosomal RNA
Source: RNAcentral
CAGUAGCCGCGGUAAUGCAGAGGGUGCAAACGUUGUUCGGAAUUACUGGGCGCAAAGCGAGUGCAGGCGGUCUCAAAAGUCAGGUGUGAAAGCCCUGGGCUCAACCCAGGAAGUGCACUUGAAACUGCGAGGCUAGAGUACUGGAGAGGUUGGUGGAAUUCUCGGUGUAGAGGUGAAAUUCGUAGAUAUCGAGAGGAACACCGGUGGCGAAGGCGGCCAACUGGACAGAUACUGACGCUGAGACUCGAAAGCGUGGGGAGCAAACAGGAUUAGAUACCCCUGUAGUCUCUGUCUCUUAUAC